GCAUAUGACCAUUCAAUGUCACCAGGCUCGGCCAAAGUUCAGGAAAAGCACGGGAAAUGAAGGGGAAAAUUAACAAAGCCAUCGAGAGCCACGUUUCUCUUUUAUCCAACAUCUCAAUGAUCAGACUACUUACUUAUUUCUUCUACUGUCUGUGAGGAUCCAACAAAUAUGCCCUAUUCCCCAGGCUACUGUUAACUGGAACAGAUUGGUGCUUAUGACAGAUCUGAGCUUUGGUCCCUGCCUCUUCUUGUCAGUAAUACCCCAUCUACUCCACCUUCUGCUUCUCAUCUGCCAUGACUUGAUGGUAACUGGGCAACACCUAGGAAACAUGGAUUGUCCCCAGUAGAAAUGCUGUUUAACAGGAAACUCAAAACCAGGCUGCCAAACUGUUGGAUGAUACUCAUCAGAAUGAAAAGCAAAACAUGAAACCAUUUAAAAAAACUGACAAACUCAAACAAAAAUGGUAGUAUGACAGGGAUUCCAGGGAGUUACCACAACUGCACAGCAAAGAUAUGGUGCUGAUUUCAGAUGGACAAAUGUGGAAACAAAAAGUACUAGUUUCCCAUCAAGUAGCUCCCAGAUCCUAGAAAGCAGUCACACCAGAAGGAUAGGUGUUAAGGAACACCCGGCACUUGCAACUCGCAAAGGGGAGAAAAGAAGCAGCAUCAUGAGAUUCACCAAAGGAAACAGAGCUAACAACAAACCAACAAGAAAUGACAGAAGAGAUUGAAAAUGACACAGAAGUAGAGACAUCUUGAACAAGGAAACCAAACAAGAACUGAAACAAUAAGGACUGAGAAUGCAGAGAAACUGAGAAGAUCAUUUAAAGCUAAAAAGCCAACACAAAGAAUAAUAGAGACCUGUUAAAAUGUGCUUCAGCAAUGGGUUAAAUGAAACUUUCAAUGUUAAUAUUACAUAGGAUGUGUUACAGGUAAAGGGGGAAGAUGUGUGAAUACCUUUAAGAGUGUUAGGUAUAAGUUGUUACAUUGUCCAGGGAAAAGGGGAGAGCACAGCAGAUCAGCAGGCUAAGAGGGAUCUCUGAAUAAAAACAAGCUUUAUUCUUUUGUAAGCUCA
Alligator mississippiensis (American alligator) is the source of this 1074-nucleotide long non-coding RNA. RefSeq lists it as uncharacterized. The transcript is spliced from 2 exons. Lineage: Eukaryota; Metazoa; Chordata; Crocodylia; Alligatoridae. The record is from RefSeq and is a predicted model, not a curated record.